Arabidopsis thaliana (thale cress) is the source of this 267-nucleotide long non-coding RNA. RefSeq annotates it as other RNA. The record is from RefSeq. The transcript has a single exon. NCBI's taxonomy places the organism in Eukaryota, Viridiplantae, Streptophyta, Magnoliopsida, Brassicales, Brassicaceae.
AAGGAUCUAUCUCCCCGUAGGAUUCGUGGAAGAUCAAUUCUUCUGCCUAGGAUCUAUCUCCCGUAGCUCUUCGUCGUCGCCACUCGACGUAUUAACGACUCGUGAAUACUCUCCUCAUGUGUCAUGUCCCCUAAAUAAUUUUCUAUAAUUUUGAUUAGGUGUUGGAAAGUAUAUUUUCGAGUGGAAAUGUAUCUCCCUUUUCAAAUCACCUUCGCUAUUAAUUAACCACAUUUUGUGAAUUUGCAGACUGUUCUGGGAUUUGGUCAA